GAUAAGAGUUAACUUAGCUAGCUAGCUAGUCUGGAGAGCAUAUUUAGCGGGCAAAAUGCUAACGUGAGGGCUCGGUGUGUGGAUAAGGACUGGGGAUAAGAGUUAGCUUAGCUAGCUAGCUAGUCUGGAGAGCGUUUUUAGCGGGUAAAAUGCUAACGUGGGGGCUUGGUGUGUGGAUAAAGACUGGGGAUAAGAGUUAGCUUAGCUAGCUAGUCUGGAGAGCGUUUUUAGCGGGCAAAAUGCUAACGUGGGGGCUCAGUGUGUGGAUAAGGACUGGGGAUAAGAGUUAACUUAGCUAGCUAGCUAGUCUGGAGAGCAUAUUUAGCGGGCAAAAUGCUAACGUGGGGGCUUGGUGUGUGGAUAAAGACUGGGGAUAAGAGUUAGCUUAGCUAGCUAGCUAGUCUGGAGAGCGUUUUUAGCGGGUAAAAUGCUAACGUGAGGGCUCAGUGUGUGGAUAAGGACUGGGGAUAAGAGUUAGCUUAGCUAGCUAGCUAGUCUGGAGAGCGUUUUUAGCGGGUAAAAUGCUAACGUGGGGCUCGGUGUGUGGAUAAGGACUGGGGAUAAGAGUUAGCUUAGCUAGCUAGCUAGUCUGGAGAGCGUUUUUAGCGGGUAAAAUGCUAACGUGGGGCUCGGUGUGUGAAUAAGGACUGGGGAUAAUAGAGUUAGCUUAGCUAGCUAGCUAGUCUGGAGAGCGUUUUUAGCGGGCAAAAUGCUAACGUGGGGGUUGGUGUGUGGAUAAGGACUUGGGAUAAGAGUUAACUUAGCUAGCUAGCUAGUCUGGAGAGCAUAUUUAGCGGGCAAAAUGCUAACGUGGGGGCUUGGUGUGUGGAUAAGGACUGGGGAUAAGAGUUAGCUUAGCUAGCUAGCUAGUCUGGAGAGCGUUUUUAGCGGGUAAAAUGCUAACGUGGGGCUCUGUGUGUGGAUAAGGACUGGGGAUAAGAGUUAGCUUAGCUAGCUAGCUAGUCUGGAGAGCGUUUUUAGCGGGUAAAAUGCUAACGUGGGGCUCGGUGUGUGGAUAAGGACUGGGGAUAAUAGAGUUAGCUUAGCUAGCUAGCUAGUCUGGAGAGCGUUUUUAGCGGGCAAAAUGCUAACGUGGGGGCUUGGUGUGUGGAUAAGGACUGGGGAUAAGAGUUAACUUAGCUAGCUAGCUAGUCUGGAGAGCAUAUUUAGCGGGCAAAAUGCUAACGUGGGGGCUUGGUGUGUGGAUAAGGACUGGGGAUAAGAGUUAACUUAGCUAGCUAGCUAGUCUGGAGAGCAUAUUUAGCGGGCAAAAUGCUAACGUGGGGGCUUGGUGUGUGGAUAAGGACUGGGGAUAAGAGUUAACUUAGCUAGCUAGUCUGGAGAGCAUAUUUAGCGGGCAAAAUGCUAACGUGGGGGCUUGGUGUGUGGAUAAAGACUGGGGAUAAGAGUUAGCUAACCUUGCUAGUUUUGUUUUGUAUUUGUUCAAAAUUUAACUUGCCUGUUGACCAUAUUUUUAGAUCCACUUAGCGAGUUAGUUAUUUCACACUGUUUUGAGUUGUGCACUUGUUCAUUUAAAUAUCAAAGAGGAGUUCCAGGGCAUAACUAACGUUACUUUGCAUCUGGAGUCAAAAUUCAUGUUAAAGCUUGACCAGUAUACGUUACACAAAAACUUCUCUAUCUUCAGUGCCAAGGCCGGAGCGUCAGGAAGAAGAAUGCAAGGCAUAAUGAGCUGUUUGGUCAAGGGAGCAGUCACCACUGAGCCUGGUGGAGUAUGUGGGGGGAACAUGGCCUGCUCGCAGAACACUUUGAUGAGGGUGAGGUCAAUAUUUCACAGCACAUCAUGAAGAUCUUCACAGUGAAGGAAGAGGGUGCAACAGAGGAUGAAGGUACCAUCUUUGAGGGUCAAGAGGUACUGGCUGGUCUUGGAAAUGUCCCACAGGCAUGUGCUGCACUUCUGGGGUUCAUAUAUGCCUUGAAUUUGCAGUACCCUAAACCACUGACAUACACAUUGGAAGUGUUUCAGAAGCUUUUUAUGGAACAGGAUGGACUGAAACUUUCUCACAAGGUGCUGUCUCUUAAAACAACAGCUGUUAAUUAAGCCUUGCUACCUCAAAUAGGCUUGAAGGAGAACGCUGGUGUAAAGUUGACUUGGUGUAAUAAAACAUGAUAAUUUUUUUUUUACUAAAACCUGCCAAUAAAUGCAAAAGUGGUUAAAAGUC
Astyanax mexicanus (Mexican tetra) is the source of this 2180-nucleotide long non-coding RNA. RefSeq lists it as uncharacterized. The transcript has 3 exons. Lineage: Eukaryota; Metazoa; Chordata; Actinopteri; Characiformes; Acestrorhamphidae. The record is from RefSeq and is a predicted model, not a curated record.